CCUAAUAAAAGACAACAAUCACUACAAAUAGGUCAAGGACUCAAAAGGGAAUAUAUUUCUAAACUAACCCUUUUGCAAGCAGCAAUGUUUCUCCCAGAAAACAGUACACAACAUAAGUAAUUCCAAUUGUGUAUGUAAAUGUAUACUCUACAACAUCAAAAUAAUUUAGAGAACUCAUCCUCUAUGCAUGCCGGCAGGACAUACUGUAGGUAUUGGUCUAGAACCCCUCCUCACUCACUUCACUCACUUCGCUGGAAUGAUCUACAUACGACCGAUCCAUUGGACUGCUCUCGAGUGCACCAAGUCAGCCUUCCAUUCAAUCAAAACUAAAUCCUAGGUCCAUUACCUCAGACAUUGCGAAAAUUCCCCUAUAGAAUGUUUGAUACGGCAAAAAUACGAGCCCGAUGGAAUAGAUUCACCCAGCCUCCUCAACCCUCUCGGUCACGCCAACAACCCUGUAUGUGCAACCGACGAAACAAUUGUCGGCGCAGUC
This is a long non-coding RNA of Strongylocentrotus purpuratus (purple sea urchin), 493 nucleotides long. RefSeq lists it as uncharacterized. The transcript has 3 exons. The record is from RefSeq and is a predicted model, not a curated record. Lineage: Eukaryota; Metazoa; Echinodermata; Echinoidea; Camarodonta; Strongylocentrotidae.